This 71-nucleotide transfer RNA is filed under the name Wenxinia marina DSM 24838. It matches the Rfam family "tRNA". Rfam says of the family: Transfer RNA (tRNA) molecules are approximately 80 nucleotides in length. Their secondary structure includes four short double-helical elements and three loops (D, anti-codon, and T loops). Further hydrogen bonds mediate the characteristic L-shaped molecular structure. tRNAs have two regions of fundamental functional importance: the anti-codon, which is responsible for specific mRNA codon recognition, and the 3' end, to which the tRNAs corresponding amino acid is attached (by aminoacyl-tRNA synthetases). tRNAs cope with the degeneracy of the genetic code in two manners: having more than one tRNA (with a specific anti-codon) for a particular amino acid; and 'wobble' base-pairing, i.e. permitting non-standard base-pairing at the 3rd anti-codon position. The record is from Rfam by way of RNAcentral. Lineage: Bacteria; Pseudomonadati; Pseudomonadota; Alphaproteobacteria; Rhodobacterales; Roseobacteraceae.
GCGGGUGUGAUGUAAUGGUAGCCUGUCAGUCUUCCAAACUGAUCGCGCGGGUUCGAUUCCCGCCACCCGCU